UGGGAACCUGCCUUGGAGUGGGGGAUAACCACUGGAAACGGUGGCUAAUACCGCAUGUGCCCCGAGGGGCAAAGGCUUCGUGUCGCUCCGAGAGGGGCCCGCGUCCGAUUAGCUUGUUGGUGGGGUAACGGCCUACCAAGGCAGCGAUCGGUAGCUGGUCUGAGAGGAUGAUCAGCCACACUGGGACUGCGACACGGCCCAGACUCCUACGGGAGGCAG
RNAcentral lists this ribosomal RNA (219 nucleotides) under uncultured bacterium. Its description in RNAcentral is "partial 16S ribosomal RNA". It matches the Rfam family "Bacterial small subunit ribosomal RNA", at positions 118 to 351 of the family's 1533-position model. The record is from RNAcentral.